Molecule: long non-coding RNA, 1252 nt
Organism: Apus apus (common swift)
Lineage: Eukaryota; Metazoa; Chordata; Aves; Apodiformes; Apodidae
Exons: 4
Source: RefSeq, a predicted model, not a curated record
UGAGGGUUGGACACAUUUGAAGGAGUGCUCAGAUUCCAAAAAACCCCUGACAUCUAAAUCAUGAUCUGCGUAGCUACAUUCUUUUAGAAGACCCACUGCACGUUUGCACGUGUCGUGGAGCGUGUUCUGAGGACCUUCUGGUCCUUGUGAAGACUCCAGAAGGUAGGGAAUGUGGCUUCUUCUCACACCUCAACUACCACUGCUUGGCUGUGGAUUGGUCCUCAACAAUGCUCUCGGCCCCCUUCCCCUGCCACCCGGGUAGGGAGGGAGAGAGAGGAAAAGACAGAGACUUGGCUGCAUUGAAAACUCAACUACACAGCGUUAAUUCAACAUCAAUGAUAAAAGAAAGAUAUACAAUUACAUACAAAUAUGUUCAGAGACUGGCAAAAGCCUCUCUCCUCCCCCCACCCCAGCAACUCCCACAGCAUCUCCUGAGCUGGGAACAGUCCCAUAAAAUCCCGGAACUGCUGGAGAAAGCGGAGGGUGAUGAGGGUCAGGAGAGCUGGAGCCUGGGGGUCCACGGGGAGGGAGGGACGGAGUCCUCCCCGGAUGCCGGCCACAGGUGGAGGAGAAGGGAAGAAGAAGCAGGAAGGAAGUUGUCUUGUGUGAUCUCUGUGCUUCCCCUGAGCUCACGUAGCUCUCUGGAAUGGAAGAUCUCUGGCCAGUUUUGCUGUCUGUCUCACUCAGCCUCCUCCGGGGGGGUCAGAGAUCUCCCUGUAGCGUCUGAGCCGGCAGAGUGAAGGUGCGACCUUGAAGCCCCAGCAGGACUAUCCGCUUUUUCAGCACCUGAAGAAAAGGUCGAAGAAAGUCAGGUGCACAGAAGCAGAAACUGGGGGGUUCUCCAAGAAGUGUAGGAAACAGAAACAGGUGAAGAAGAGCCAGCAGCAGCUGCAAGAAGAGUUCUAGGUUGUGCAGGAUGAAGUAUUCUCUGAAGACCUUGACUGAGGUAAUGGGUCAUGAUGUCAGGGGUGUUUGUAAGGGAAAAGGUGAGUGCUCCCAGCUCUUAGAAAUCAUGGCUUGAAAACUGUCAACUGCCCAUGCUCAGCACAGGGUUUUUCUGCUCAGUUUCCGGUUUAGCCUUGACUGUGAAAACUUCCUGCUCACAAAAUAUUGUGCAGCGUGUUUUGCAGUUGCCUGAAGAAGAAGCCAGGGCAAGGAAAAGUGCCCCAUUUCCUGCAGACUUGGCUGAGGCUGAAGGCAUCUUUCACUAGAGAACCGGGAUUCUUCAGUCAUUUCUGAGGAAGGAAGGGAC